This 579-nucleotide ribosomal RNA is filed under the name Sulfitobacter sp. ZJ0208B26. RNAcentral's name for it is "bacterial SSU rRNA". It matches the Rfam family "Bacterial small subunit ribosomal RNA", at positions 320 to 916 of the family's 1533-position model. The record is from RNAcentral. Lineage: Bacteria; Pseudomonadati; Pseudomonadota; Alphaproteobacteria; Rhodobacterales; Roseobacteraceae.
UGGGUCUGCAGUCGAGAUUCCUACGGGAGGCAGCAGUAGGGAAUCUUAGACAAUGGGCGCAAGCCUGAUCUAGCCAUGCCGCGUGUGUGAUGAAGGCCUUAGGGUCGUAAAGCACUUUCGCUAGGGAUGAUAAUGACAGUACCUAGUAAAGAAACCCCGGCUAACUCCGUGCCAGCAGCCGCGGUAAUACGGAGGGGGUUAGCGUUGUUCGGAAUUACUGGGCGUAAAGCGUACGUAGGCGGAUCAGAAAGUAGGGGGUGAAAUCCCGAGGCUCAACCUCGGAACUGCCUCCUAAACUCCUGGUCUUGAGUUCGAGAGAGGUGAGUGGAAUUCCAAGUGUAGAGGUGAAAUUCGUAGAUAUUUGGAGGAACACCAGUGGCGAAGGCGGCUCACUGGCUCGAUACUGACGCUGAGGUACGAAAGUGUGGGGAGCAAACAGGAUUAGAUACCCUGGUAGUCCACACCGUAAACGAUGAAUGCCAGUCGUCGGGUAGCAUGCUAUUCGGUGACACACCUAACGGAUUAAGCAUUCCGCCUGGGGAGUACGGUCGCAAGAUUAAAACUCAAAGGAAUUGACGG